CGAGUUUGAACGGGACGACAUUGAUGUGAGAGGACUUGGGGGGAUUCACUCAUUGAGCCAGUCUCUCUCGCAUUCAGGGGUUGACCCGUUCAAAAGCCAGAGGCCAGAGUCACGGGUGUUGCGUCACAAGUAAUUGAGAACAAUGAUUGUUGGUGGUGUUCAUACAAUGUUAUGACUAAUGAUCUUGUGGUGCUUAUAUAUAGAUAGACAUGAAAAAAUAGGAAGGCGCUUGAAAUAACUCAAAGCAAUGGCAAAACCGCUUUCUCCUCCCUCCUCCUCCUCCUCCUCCUCCUCUCUUAUCAAAAUUUUGUGCUUCCUCUUGAUUUUCAUUAUCAUGGCCGCCCUGGGUCAGUCUUCCUCUCUAGUUAUUUCUUCUAACUUCUAAGCUUUUUUUUUUUUUUGGUAUAUAUAUUUAUAUAUAUCAUUUAUGUGGUGAGUAAUGUAUACGUGAGUUUAGCUCGGUAGUUUGUUCUUGAUGGAAUUGAGAUAUCUGAAUUGUUGUCAUUUGAGGUAUGUUUCACUCUUUCGAAAUACUGAAUCAUAAAAGGCGAUUUGGCAACUGGUAUUUUUGGUAGCAUAACGAGUUUGUGGAUGAGUCUAAGUAAAAUUAAGUGAAUGAUGGUUGUUGUAGGUAGAGCAAGAGGGAACCCCGGAGGCCCUGGCCCUCAUCCGAUACACGACUAAUUUGAAUGAUUGAAGCUCACAGCCAAUUUAUAAAGAGCGAAUGGUCUUCCCAAUGAUCAGAGACAGGUGACAGCGGACCAUCUACUUUGCAAAGCACUUUCCUGGUUUUUCUAUUUAAUGUAUUUGAAAGCCUCUGUCUAAGUUAAAAUUACGGGGAAUAUUUCGAUUCUAGCAAGUACCAUGUAAUGUAAGAAUUAAGAAUUUAUGCAUGGAUUUUCUAUUAAUGUAUUUGAAAGCCUCUGUGCAAGUUAGAUUACGCAAGAGUAUUUCAAUGCUAGGAAUUAGCGAGUAAUGCGGGAAUUCUACGCAUGGAUUUUCUGCUUUGAAGUUCUAAAACAGAUUCUCUUGAAUCCUUUAAUGA
Long non-coding RNA from Eucalyptus grandis, 1045 nucleotides. RefSeq lists it as uncharacterized. The record is from RefSeq and is a predicted model, not a curated record. NCBI's taxonomy places the organism in Eukaryota, Viridiplantae, Streptophyta, Magnoliopsida, Myrtales, Myrtaceae. The transcript is spliced from 2 exons.